UGGGGAAUAUUGCACAAUGGGCGAAAGCCUGAUGCAGCAACGCCGCGUGCGGGAUGACGGCCUUCGGGUUGUAAACCGCUUUCAGCAGGGACGAAGGUUUUCUGACGGUACCUGCAGAAGAAGCACCGGCUAACUACGUGCCAGCAGCCGCGGUGAUACGUAGGGUGCGAGCGUUGUCCGGAAUUAUUGGGCGUAAAGAGCUUGUAGGCGGUCCGUUGCGUCGGAAGUGAAAACUCAGGGCUUAACCCUGAGCCUGCUUUCGAUACGGGCGGACUUGAGGGAUGUAGGGGAGAACGGAAUUCCUGGUGGAGCGGUGGAAUGCGCAGAUAUCAGGAGGAACACCAGUGGCGAAGGCGGUUCUCUGGACAUUUCCUGACGCUGAGAAGCGAAAGCGUGGGGAGCAAACAGGCUUAGAUACCCUGGUAGUCCACGCCGUAAACGGUGGGCACUAGGUGUGGGACCCAUUCCACGGGUUCCGUGCCGUAGCUAACGCAUUAAGUGCCCCGCCUGGGGAGUACGGCCGCAAGGCUAAAA
RNAcentral lists this ribosomal RNA (534 nucleotides) under uncultured bacterium. RNAcentral's name for it is "partial 16S ribosomal RNA". It matches the Rfam family "Bacterial small subunit ribosomal RNA", at positions 355 to 899 of the family's 1533-position model. The record is from RNAcentral.